UGGCUCAGUCAGUAGAGCGUCCGCCUCACAACCGGGAGGUCGUGGGUUCAAACCCUGC
This 58-nucleotide transfer RNA is filed under the name Strongylocentrotus purpuratus (purple sea urchin). It matches the Rfam family "tRNA", at positions 8 to 63 of the family's 71-position model. Rfam says of the family: Transfer RNA (tRNA) molecules are approximately 80 nucleotides in length. Their secondary structure includes four short double-helical elements and three loops (D, anti-codon, and T loops). Lineage: Eukaryota; Metazoa; Echinodermata; Echinoidea; Camarodonta; Strongylocentrotidae. The record is from Rfam by way of RNAcentral.